This 645-nucleotide ribosomal RNA is filed under the name uncultured bacterium. RNAcentral's name for it is "bacterial SSU rRNA". It matches the Rfam family "Bacterial small subunit ribosomal RNA", at positions 838 to 1482 of the family's 1533-position model. The record is from RNAcentral.
UCUUAGUGGCGCAGCUAACGCACUAAGUUGACCGCCUGGGGAGUACGGCCGCAAGGUUAAAACUCAAAUGAAUUGACGGGGGCCCGCACAAGCGGUGGAGCAUGUGGUUUAAUUCGACGCAACGCGAAGAACCUUACCUGGCCUUGACAUCCAGAGAACUUUCCAGAGAUGGAUUGGUGCCUUCGGGAACUCUGUGACAGGUGCUGCAUGGCCGUCGUCAGCUCGUGUCGUGAGAUGUUGGGUUAAGUCCCGUAACGAGCGCAACCCCUAUCCCUGGUUGCUAGCAGGUAAUGCUGAGAACUCCAGGGAGACUGCCGGUGACAAACCGGAGGAAGGUGGGGAUGACGUCAGGUCAUCAUGGCCCUUACGGCCAGGGCUACACACGUGCUACAAUGGUGCGUACAGAGGGCUGCAAACUCGCGAGAGUAAGCCAAUCCCUUAAAACGCAUCGUAGUCCGGAUCGGAGUCUGCAACUCGACUCCGUGAAGUCGGAAUCGCUAGUAAUCGCGAAUCAGAAUGUCGCGGUGAAUACGUUCCCGGGCCUUGUACACACCGCCCGUCACACCAUGGGAGUGGAUUGCACCAGAAGUGGUUAGUCUAACCUUCGGGGGGACGAUCACCACGGUGUGGUUCAUGACUGGGGUG